GAUGAACGCUGGCGGCGUGCCUAACACAUGCAAGUCGAGCGGCAGCGCGAGUAGUUUACUACUUGGCGGCGAGCGGCGAACGGCUGAGUAACGCGUGGGAAUUUGCCCCAAAGUGAGGAAUAACUGCCCGAAAGGGUGGCUAAUGCCGCAUAUGAUCUUCGGAUUAAAGGAUUUAUCCGCUUUGGGAGAAGCCCGCGUCGGAUUAGGUAGUUGGUGAGGUAAUGGCUCACCAAGCCGACGAUCCGUAGCUGGUCUGAGAGGAUGACCAGCCAGACUGGAACUGAGACACGGUCCAGACUCCUACGGGAGGCAGCAGUGAGGAAUCUUCCACAAUGGGCGAAAGCCUGAUGGAGCAACGCCGCGUGCAGGAUGAAGGCCUUCGGGUUGUAAACUGCUUUUAUGAUUGAGGAAUUUGACAGUAGAUCAUGAAUAAGGAUCGGCUAACUACGUGCCAGCAGCCGCGGUCAUACGUAGGAUCCGAGCGUUAUCCGGAGUGACUGGGUGUAAAGAGUUGCGUAGGCGGUUUGUUAAGUGAAUAGUGAAAUCUGGUGGCUCAACCAUACAGGCUAUUAUUCAAACUGGCAAACUCGAGAGUGGUAGAGGUCACUGGAAUUUCUUGUGUAGGAGUGAAAUCCGUAGAUAUAAGAAGGAACACCGAUGGCGUAGGCAGGUGACUGGACCAUUUCUGACGCUAAGGCACGAAAGCGUGGGGAGCGAACCGG
This 722-nucleotide ribosomal RNA is filed under the name uncultured Candidatus Saccharibacteria bacterium. RNAcentral's name for it is "bacterial SSU rRNA". It matches the Rfam family "Bacterial small subunit ribosomal RNA", at positions 28 to 776 of the family's 1533-position model. Lineage: Bacteria; Candidatus Saccharimonadota. The record is from RNAcentral.